Molecule: ribosomal RNA, 400 nt
Filed under: uncultured bacterium
Lineage: Bacteria
Description: bacterial SSU rRNA
Rfam family: Bacterial small subunit ribosomal RNA
Source: RNAcentral
UCGAGAAUUUUUCACAAUGGGCGAAAGCCUGAUGGAGCGACGCCGCGUGGGGGAUGAAUGGCUUCGGCCCGUAAACCCCUGUCAUUCGCGAGCAAUGCCUUCCCGAUAACACCGGGACGGUUGAUCGUAGCGAAAGAGGAAGGGACGGCUAACUCUGUGCCAGCAGCCGCGGUAAUACAGAGGUCCCAAGCGUUGUUCGGAUUCACUGGGCGUAAAGGGUGCGUAGGUGGUGAGGUAAGUUCGGUGUGAAAUCUCCGGGCUCAACCCGGAAAAGGCAUUGAAUACUAUCUUGCUAGAGGUUUGAGGGGGGACUGGAAUUCUCGGUGUAGCAGUGAAAUGCGUAGAUAUCGAGAGGAACACCGGUGGCGAAGGCGAGUCCCUGGACAACACCUGACACUGA